RNAcentral lists this ribosomal RNA (625 nucleotides) under bacterium. RNAcentral's name for it is "bacterial SSU rRNA". It matches the Rfam family "Bacterial small subunit ribosomal RNA", at positions 78 to 688 of the family's 1533-position model. The record is from RNAcentral.
GCUUGCACCGGAUGGAUGAGUUGCGAACGGGUGAGUAACGCGUAGGUAACCUACCUCAUAGCGGGGGAUAACUAUUGGAAACGAUAGCUAAUACCGCAUAAUAGUCAUUAACACAUGUUAGAGACUUGAAAGGGGCAAAUGCUUCACUAUGAGAUGGACCUGCGUUGUAUUAGCUAGUUGGUGAGGUAAAGGCUCACCAAGGCGACGAUACAUAGCCGACCUGAGAGGGUGAUCGGCCACACUGGGACUGAGACACGGCCCAGACUCCUACGGGAGGCAGCAGUAGGGAAUCUUCGGCAAUGGGGGAAACCCUGACCGAGCAACGCCGCGUGAGUGAAGAAGGUUUUCGGAUCGUAAAGCUCUGUUGUUAGAGAAGAACGUGUGUGAGAGUGGAAAGUUCACACAGUGACGGUAACUAACCAGAAAGGGACGGCUAACUACGUGCCAGCAGCCGCGGUAAUACGUAGGUCCCGAGCGUUGUCCGGAUUUAUUGGGCGUAAAGCGAGCGCAGGCGGUUCUGUAAGUCUGAAGUUAAAGGCAGUGGCUUAACCAUUGUACGCUUUGGAAACUGCAGGACUUGAGUGCAGAAGGGGAGAGUGGAAUUCCAUGGGUUAGCCGGUGAGGA